CAAUAGCGUAUAUUAAAGUUGUUGCAGUUAAAAAGCUCGUAGUUGGAUUUCUGGUGGGAGCGAUCGGUCUGGCGCUUAGCGCGAGUACUUGCAUCGUCUCCGGCCAUCCUUGGGGAGAGUCUGUCUGGCAUUAGGUUGUCGGGCAGAGGAUCCUCAUCGUUUACUGCGAAAAAAUUAGAGUGUUCAAAGCAGGCUUAUGCCGUUGAAUAUAUUAGCAUGGAAUAAUAAGAUAGGACUUUGGUACUAUUUUGUUGGUUUGCGCACCAAAGUAAUGAUUAAUAGGGACAGUUGGGGGUAUUCGUAUUCCGUUGUCAGAGGUGAAAUUCUUGGAUUUACGGAAGACGAACUACUGCGAAAGCAUUUACCAAGGAUGUUUUCAUUAA
This 383-nucleotide ribosomal RNA is filed under the name uncultured eukaryote. Its description in RNAcentral is "partial 18S ribosomal RNA". It matches the Rfam family "Eukaryotic small subunit ribosomal RNA", at positions 592 to 976 of the family's 1831-position model. The record is from RNAcentral.